GCGCCAGUAGUGCAACGGGUUAGAGCGUGCGCUCCCGGUAAGAGUGAAAUGCGGGUUCGAUUCCCGGCUGACGCG
Non-coding RNA from Parelaphostrongylus tenuis, 75 nucleotides. The record is from the annotation of a GenBank genome assembly. NCBI's taxonomy places the organism in Eukaryota, Metazoa, Nematoda, Chromadorea, Rhabditida, Metastrongylidae.